RNA transcript from Lotus japonicus, 2585 nucleotides. It is a transcript of the gene named tRNA(His) guanylyltransferase 1-like, with no coding region annotated. Lineage: Eukaryota; Viridiplantae; Streptophyta; Magnoliopsida; Fabales; Fabaceae. The transcript is spliced from 3 exons. The record is from RefSeq and is a predicted model, not a curated record.
AAAUAAUAAUCACUUUAGUGCCCAAUCUCUUUUAAAGUUUCCUCUGUCGAUCAACCCUCUUACAUUCUGGUUCCGGCCGCCAUAGCUUCGCCGCCACUGGAAUUACCCACACUGCCGCUAAACCCCCUCCAAGGCUUGUUCUCUCAUCCUCUCGCAGGUUAAUGAUGAUGAGGGCACCAAGUGUUUGAUGAUUUUCCUGUGAGAAGAAAGAGCACAUUUGUGUAAGUUUUUGUGUCCAUGCAGUAGUAUGGCAAAUAGUAAAUAUGAGUAUGUCAAGUGUUUUGAGGUUGAGGAUGAGGUGUUGUUUCCCAAUUUCAUCCUUGUUUGGAUCAGUGCCUGCAAACUUUGUAAACCUCAUGAUGUUAAUGUCUUGAAAUUGAUGAACUCUUGCGCUGUCGCGGUGCUUGAAGAGUAUGCGGAUGUAGUCCUUGCAUAUGGGUUCAGUGAUGAGUUCACUUUUGUUUUCAAGAAGACUUCCCAGUUCUAUGAAAGGCGCGCUAGCAAAGUGUUAUCCAUCGUCACUUCUUUUUUCUCAUCUGUCUUUGUGAGAAAAUGGGGUGAAUUCUUCCCGCAAAAGAAGCUACAAUCUCCUCCGUCGUUCCAUGGGCGAGUCAUAGCUUGCGCGUCCAUAGAAGCUGUUCAAGCAUAUCUUUUUUGGAGGCAAAGUGUCUGUCAUUUGAAUAAUCAACAUGACCAGUGCUUUUGGCGUCUUGUUGAACGCGGGAUGGAUGAGGAGGAAGCGCUGGAUUUCAUCAAUUGUGCUCAGAAACGUGACCUAAAUGAUCUUUUAUUUGAUGAGUUCCAUGUCAAUUACAAUGAACUAGAGCCGAUAUUCCGACAAGGUUCCUGUAUUUUAAAGACAGUGGUAGAGGAUGUUGUGAAGUACGCAGAGAAUGGGGCUCCAAUUAAAAGGCAUAGGAGAAAGAUAAUCACUGUGCAUUCCAAGAAAAUAGCAAGUAAAAGAUUUUGGAAUGAGCAGACCAUUCUUGUGAAGGAGCUUGGUGGUUUCACGGAUGAGAUUAACAAUGUGAAACCAGAGUAUGUGAGGUCCUUCGAAUUCGAUAGCAAGUUGAUGCCGUCUACAUGGAUUGUAGUUCGACUUGAUGGAUGCCACUUCCACAGAUUUUCUGAGAUGCAUGAAUUUGUAAAGCCAAAUGAUGGUAGAGCUCUUAACCUGAUGAAUUCAUGUGCAGUGGCUGUGGUGGAAGAGUUUAGGCCGGACAUAGUCUUUGCCUAUGGGGUUAGUGAUGAGUAUAGCUUCAUUCUUAAGCAAUCCAGUGAUAUUUAUCAAAGGAGAGCUAGUAAAAUCAUUUCAGCUAUUGUAUGUUUCUUCACAUCAACCUAUGUGAUGAGAUGGAAAGAUUUCUUCCCACAAAGUGAGUUAAAGUAUCCUCCUUCUUUUGAUGCACGAGUAGUUUGCUAUCCAUCAACUAAAAUUAUAAGGGACUAUCUUUCAUGGAGGCAAGUGGAUUGCCACAUCAACAAUCAGUAUAACACUUGCUUCUGGAAGCUUGUUGCAUCUGGAAAGAGCAAAAGGGAAGCUCAGCAUAGUUUGAAGGGUGCACAACUGCAAAAGAAAAUUGAGGAAUUGGGUAUUGACUACAAUGAGUUACCAAUGAUGUUCCGACAUGGAUCCUCAGUUUUUUGGGACAAGGUAGACAAUGUUCUCAUUCACCAUGAGAAUAAUGGAGAGUCUUCUGAAAGUUAUGGAAAGGUCAUUGUAGAACAUAUUGACAUCAUUGGACCAGCCUUUUGGUCGGAACACCCAGGCAUCCUUGACUAAACGCUAUACAUGUAAUUUAUCUAAUACAUUACUUUAAUUCUACAGUUUUCUCAUUGGAGUGCUUACAGCCUGUUUUGACUAGAUUCUAUCAUGAGGUAUGCUCGACACUAAUCAAAGCGUUGCUUGUGUGAAUGAUGACAUUGUUCAGUCCAAAUAUGAUUCUGAUGAAGAUCAAGAUGAUCAAGAAGCAAAUCCCUUGGUGGUACCCCUUAAUGAUGGGGCUCCCGGCUCCCAUUAUUAAUGAUAAAUGAUUUAGUAAGAUAUUUUUUGCUGAAGCUGUAGAGGAAUGAGACUUUGAAAAGUAUGAGAGUGAAGACCAAAUGGAUAUUGAUGAAGCUGAGAAGAAGUCUGUUGCAAAAAAAGAUCAAAGAAAAUAAACAACUUUUGCAAUUUGCACCAAAUUCUCUGUAUUGAUUUGAUCACAGUGGUAAAAAUCGGACCGAUCAGUUCAACCGCUUGGAUUGAAAAUCGGACCCAUGCCCAGUGCGGUCAUGAAUGUGGAUUGGUUCUGCAUGCCAUGUCAUCAAUUUGGUUCCACAUUCCUAGUCAACUCAGUUGAUCUCAGUCAAAGGUGAAAGGAGCGCGGGUUAAACGUGUUGUACUAGCCACCGGUGUGGCUCCCUUUCUCAUACUGGUGUGGCUAGUACAACCGCUGCCUUGCUAAGUAAUGUGCACAAGAUGAUAUUAAUGGCUUUCUUAGUUGAAAUAUGUAGGUAAUUUAAUUUAUGUUCAACACAAGGGUUUUUCUUUUGUAAACAAAUUCUGCAUAAUUAAAAUUUGAAACCAAGUAUGCAGAUCUCAA